This 431-nucleotide ribosomal RNA is filed under the name uncultured bacterium. Its description in RNAcentral is "bacterial SSU rRNA". It matches the Rfam family "Bacterial small subunit ribosomal RNA", at positions 211 to 635 of the family's 1533-position model. The record is from RNAcentral.
UCGGGCGCCGUCGGGGGGCAGAUGUCUGAUUAGCUAGUUGGUGAGGUAAAGGCUUACCAAGGCUACGAUCAGUAGCUGGUCUGAGAGGACGACCAGCCACACUGGGACUGAGACACGGCCCAGACUCCUACGGGAGGCAGCAGUGGGGAAUUUUGGACAAUGGGGGAAACCCUGAUCCAGCCAUGCCGCGUGAGUGAAGAAGGCCUUCGGGUUGUAAAGCUCUUUCAGCCGGAACGAAAAGGUUACGGCUAAUACCCGUGACUACUGACGGUACCGGCAAGAAGAAGCACCGGCUAACUACGUGCCAGCAGCCGCGGUAAUACGUAGGGUGCGAGCGUUAAUCGGAAUUACUGGGCGUAAAGCGUGCGCAGGCGGUUUUGUAAGUCAGAUGUGAAAUCCCCGGGCUCAACCUGGGAACUGCGUUUGAACUC